Molecule: ribosomal RNA, 1097 nt
Filed under: Escherichia coli
Lineage: Bacteria; Pseudomonadati; Pseudomonadota; Gammaproteobacteria; Enterobacterales; Enterobacteriaceae
Description: partial 23S ribosomal RNA
Rfam family: Bacterial large subunit ribosomal RNA
Source: RNAcentral
GACGUGCUAAUCUGCGAUAAGCGUCGGUAAGGUGAUAUGAACCGUUAUAACCGGCGAUUUCCGAAUGGGGAAACCCAGUGUGAUUCGUCACACUAUCAUUAACUGAAUCCAUAGGUUAAUGAGGCGAACCGGGGGAACUGAAACAUCUAAGUACCCCGAGGAAAAGAAAUCAACCGAGAUUCCCCCAGUAGCGGCGAGCGAACGGGGAGCAGCCCAGAGCCUGAAUCAGUGUGUGUGUUAGUGGAAGCGUCUGGAAAGGCGCGCGAUACAGGGUGACAGCCCCGUACACAAAAAUGCACAUGCUGUGAGCUCGAUGAGUAGGGCGGGACACGUGGUAUCCUGUCUGAAUAUGGGGGGACCAUCCUCCAAGGCUAAAUACUCCUGACUGACCGAUAGUGAACCAGUACCGUGAGGGAAAGGCGAAAAGAACCCCGGCGAGGGGAGUGAAAAAGAACCUGAAACCGUGUACGUACAAGCAGUGGGAGCACAGAGCAAUCUGUGUGACUGCGUACCUUUUGUAUAAUGGGUCAGCGACUUAUAUUCUGUAGCAAGGUUAACCGAAUAGGGGAGCCGAAGGGAAACCGAGUCUUAACUGGGCGUUAAGUUGCAGGGUAUAGACCCGAAACCCGGUGAUCUAGCCAUGGGCAGGUUGAAGGUUGGGUAACACUAACUGGAGGACCGAACCGACUAAUGUUGAAAAAUUAGCGGAUGACUUGUGGCUGGGGGUGAAAGGCCAAUCAAACCGGGAGAUAGCUGGUUCUCCCCGAAAGCUAUUUAGGUAGCGCCUCGUGAAUUCAUCUCCGGGGGUAGAGCACUGUUUCGGCAAGGGGGUCAUCCCGACUUACCAACCCGAUGCAAACUGCGAAUACCGGAGAAUGUUAUCACGGGAGACACACGGCGGGUGCUAACGUCCGUCGUGAAGAGGGAAACAACCCAGACCGCCAGCUAAGGUCCCAAAGUCAUGGUUAAGUGGGAAACGAUGUGGGAAGGCCCAGACAGCCAGGAUGUUGGCUUAGAAGCAGCCAUCAUUUAAAGAAAGCGUAAUAGCUCACUGGUCGAGUCGGCCUGCGCGGAAGAUGUAACGGGGCUAAACCAUG